UAAUGUUAGUUUUAUGACUGUCUCAAACAAAUCAUUUCAACAGAAUAUUCUUUCUGUUACUGCUCCUUGUAUUCUCAGGGCUCUACAGUUUCCACCGAGGCCUGCUUGAUAAUGCUGAAGACCUUCAGUAAAUCUCAGAACACUGGAUCACCCCAGGGUCUCUUGGAGGAACGAACUGUGGAGCAGAACCUUUGCUACGUACUGAGUGAUUGUGUGGCUACGCAAUUGGAUGGACCCCUCCAAAUGCUGAAGGCUUAAGCUCCAAUAUGAUGGAAUCUAGAGAUGGGAUCAUGCUGUGUAACAGUUUCCUCUGAGAUUAAAAACAAUCCUACAGAAA
Mastomys coucha (southern multimammate mouse) is the source of this 337-nucleotide long non-coding RNA. RefSeq lists it as uncharacterized. The record is from RefSeq and is a predicted model, not a curated record. NCBI's taxonomy places the organism in Eukaryota, Metazoa, Chordata, Mammalia, Rodentia, Muridae. The transcript has 2 exons.